Rhinopithecus roxellana (golden snub-nosed monkey) is the source of this 696-nucleotide long non-coding RNA. RefSeq lists it as uncharacterized. The record is from RefSeq and is a predicted model, not a curated record. The transcript has 5 exons. Lineage: Eukaryota; Metazoa; Chordata; Mammalia; Primates; Cercopithecidae.
CUGGCUCAGCCUUCCCAGUAGCUGGGAUUAUAGACGCGUGCCACCAUGCCCAGGAAUAUCUGGGUCCAAAGAAAAUGUUCUGUAGAGAGAAGGGAAGAAAAUAAGCAUUUGUUGAGAACCAAGUGUCAGAGCUAAUACAUGGUAGCAAAUGCUGCCCUGCCUGUAUCUCCUCGGCCACCUGAAGUCACCUGCAGACAGCACCUUUAGGAAGGUGGCUUCCUUCAUCUCUGCCUAAUGACAUUUCCUGGAUAACGAGCACUCGUUCACAUAGGGGCAGUUCCAAGGCACUUCCUCAUCCUGUAACCGAAUGGCAGGUCACGGCUGGACUCAGAGCUCUCCAAUGGCUCCCAUCUCAGAGUCAAAGCUGAGGUCCUGCUGAAGCGGCGUCACUAUCUGGGGCAAAUACCCGAGGUUUCCUGUCUCACGCCAGGGAAAUUGAAGACACGGACACACAAGAAACUUUGGAGUUUGCUGAAAUGUAACCUCAGAAUAAGUGGGGUGUGACUGCCCUCUCUCCUUUGAGGGAAAAGAAAAAGUAUUUUCAGGCCGGGUACGGUGGCUCAUGCUUAUAAUCCCAGCACUGUGGGAGGCUGAGAAUACAUCAAUAAAAGAAGAACAAUUUAAGAGAAACAGGAAAUUCACAGAAGAGGAAACCGGAAUUGUCAUAAACAAAUGAAAAAUGCUCAACCUCACUAG